RNAcentral lists this RNase P RNA (343 nucleotides) under Denitrobacterium detoxificans. RNAcentral describes it as "Bacterial RNase P class A". It matches the Rfam family "Bacterial RNase P class A". From Rfam's summary of the family: Ribonuclease P (RNase P) is a ubiquitous endoribonuclease, found in archaea, bacteria and eukarya as well as chloroplasts and mitochondria. Its best characterised activity is the generation of mature 5'-ends of tRNAs by cleaving the 5'-leader elements of precursor-tRNAs. The record is from Rfam by way of RNAcentral. Lineage: Bacteria; Bacillati; Actinomycetota; Coriobacteriia; Eggerthellales; Eggerthellaceae.
GAAGCGGGUCGGACAACUGCGGGCCUUUUAGGCAUGAGGAAAGUCCGGGCUUCAUAGGGCAGGAUGCCAGCUAACGGCUGGGCGGGGCGACCCGAUGGAAAGUGCCACAGAAAAGAAGACUCCAGCUUUCGGGCUGGAAAAGCUGAAACGGUGCGGUAAGAGCGCACCAGUGCGUCGGCAACGGCGUAGCUUGGUAAACCCCAUCCGAAGCAAGCGCAAAUAGGAGUGCUAUGCGGUGGCCCGCCGUGCACUCGGGUUGCGUGCUCGAGGCGCAUCGCAAGAUGCGUCCUAGAUAAAUAGUUGUCUUAAACGACAGAACCCGGCUUAUAGACCCGCUUCAUUC